This 368-nucleotide ribosomal RNA is filed under the name Malassezia nana. RNAcentral's name for it is "eukaryotic LSU rRNA". It matches the Rfam family "Eukaryotic large subunit ribosomal RNA", at positions 37 to 401 of the family's 3401-position model. The record is from RNAcentral. Lineage: Eukaryota; Fungi; Basidiomycota; Malasseziomycetes; Malasseziales; Malasseziaceae.
UGCAUAUCAAUAAGCGGAGGAAAAGAAACUAACAAGGAUUCCCCUAGUAACGGCGAGCGAAGCGGGAAGAGCUCAAAUUUGAAAGCUGGCGCCUUCGGCGUCCGCGUUGUAAUCUCGAGACGUGUUUUCCGUGCGGCGCUAUGGACAAGUCCCUUGGAACAGGGCAUCGUAGAGGGUGAAAAUCCCGUACUUGCCAUGGAUGUACCGUGCUUUGUGAUACACGCUCUAAGAGUCGAGUUGUUUGGGAUUGCAGCUCAAAAUGGGUGGUAGACUCCAUCUAAAGCUAAAUAUCGGGGAGAGACCGAUAGCGAACAAGUACCGUGAGGGAAAGAUGAAAAGCACUUUGGAAAGAGAGUUAAAAGUACGUG